Molecule: long non-coding RNA, 557 nt
Organism: Engraulis encrasicolus (European anchovy)
Lineage: Eukaryota; Metazoa; Chordata; Actinopteri; Clupeiformes; Engraulidae
Exons: 3
Source: RefSeq, a predicted model, not a curated record
CAUAACGGGGACGGGCGGUACGGGAAACUGGGAGAAGAAGAGAAAGUUGUUGCUUGCUUCCAGCCAUGAACUUACUCUGCCUGCGAUGCAUUUUUUAUCCAGUGUUUAUUUUCUUCAGUUAAGUUGUGAACUUAAACCAAACCUCUGCAUUGGCAAAAUACUAGCACCUUAAUGCACCGUUUCUUCAUUGGUGGCUGGGCACCGCGGCUGGCAUCCUCUCGUGGCAUGGCACAGGUUCAUCAGUCAGGUGGUCAGCACCCAAACUAAAACCAUGAGUCAUGGUGGCCAGGAUGACGUCCAAGAAUUGCAUCCCAGCAGCACAGAUGGGGGAGCCAACAUGAAGAGGUGUCCAGAGAGGCUUCUUUCGCUUGGGCUUUGCAACAGCACCAGGACCUCACCAUCAGUGAUGCUGGUUUCCUCAUCCAUCGGGCCUACCCUUACAUUCCUCACCUGAUGCACUGAUCACCUGUACCAGUUGUUGGAGUUUUCAGCAGGGCUCUAAAUUAACUUUUUUCAUCACUAGCCAAAAUGGCUAGUAUGUUAAUCUCCAAACAUAC